RNAcentral lists this ribosomal RNA (468 nucleotides) under uncultured bacterium. RNAcentral's name for it is "partial 16S ribosomal RNA". It matches the Rfam family "Bacterial small subunit ribosomal RNA", at positions 28 to 507 of the family's 1533-position model. The record is from RNAcentral.
GACGAACGCUGGCGGCGUGCUUAACACAUGCAAGUCGAACGGAAAGGCCCUGCUUUUGUGGGGUGCUCGAGUGGCGAACGGGUGAGUAACAAGUGAGUAACCUGCCCUUGACUUUGGGAUAACUUCAGGCAACUGGGGCUAAUACCGGAUAGGAGCUCCUGCUGCAUGGUGGGGGUUGGAAAGUUUCGGCGGUUGGGGAUGGACUCGCGGCUUAUCAGCUUGUUGGUGGGGUAGUGGCUUACCAAGGCUUUGACGGGUAGUCGACCUGCGAGGGUGACCGGCCACAUUGGGAGUGAGAAACGGCCCAGACUCCUACGGGGGGCAGCAGUGGGGAAUAUUGCACAAUGGGCGGAAGCCUUAUGCAGCAACGCCGCGUGCGGGAUAACGGCCUUCGGGUUGUAAACCGCUUUCGCCUGUGACGAAGCGUGAGUGACGGUAAUGGGUAAAGAAGCACCGGCUAACUACGUG